This 347-nucleotide ribosomal RNA is filed under the name uncultured bacterium. RNAcentral's name for it is "partial 16S ribosomal RNA". It matches the Rfam family "Bacterial small subunit ribosomal RNA", at positions 338 to 683 of the family's 1533-position model. The record is from RNAcentral.
CCUACGGGAGGCAGCAGUGAGGAAUAUUGGUCAAUGGGCGCGAGCCUGAACCAGCCCAGUCGCGUGAGGGAUGAAGGUUCUAUGGAUCGUCAACCUCUUUUAUAAGGGAAUAAAGUGUGGGACGUGUCCUAUUUUGUAUGUACCUUAUGAAUAAGGAUCGGCUAACUCCGUGCCAGCCGUCGCGGUAAUUCGGAGGAUUCGAGCGUUAUUCGGAUUUAUUGGGUUUAAAGGGUGCGUAGGCGGAUUUUUAAGUUAGCGGUAAAAAGUCCGGGCCCAACCCGGGCCGGCCGGUGAAACUGGGGAUCUUGAGUGGGCGAGAAGUAGGCGGAAUGCGUGGGGUAGCGGUG